AUACGUAGGGAGCAAGCGUUGUCCGGAUUUACUGGGUGUAAAGGGUGCGUAGGCGGCUCUGCAAGUCAGGCGUGAAGUAUAUGGGCUUAACCCAUAGACUGCGUUUGAAACUGUGGAGCUUGAGUGAAGUAGAGGUAGGCGGAAUUCCCGGUGUAGCGGUGAAAUGCGUAGAGAUCGGGAGGAACACCAGUGGCGAAGGCGGCCUACUGGGCUUUACCUGACGCUGAGGCACGAAAGCAUGGGUAGCAAACAGGAUUAGAUACCCUGGUAGUCCAUGCCGUAAACGAUGAUUACUAGGUGUGGGGGGUCUGACCCCUUCCGUGCCGGAGUUAACACAAUAAGCAAUCCACCUGGGGAGUACGACCGCAAGGUUGA
Molecule: ribosomal RNA, 375 nt
Filed under: uncultured bacterium
Lineage: Bacteria
Description: bacterial SSU rRNA
Rfam family: Bacterial small subunit ribosomal RNA
Source: RNAcentral